Erinaceus europaeus (western European hedgehog) is the source of this 311-nucleotide unclassified non-coding RNA. Its record names the gene 7SK. It matches the Rfam family "7SK RNA". Rfam says of the family: 7SK was discovered as an abundant small nuclear RNA in the mid-70s but a possible function has only recently been suggested. The record is from Ensembl. Lineage: Eukaryota; Metazoa; Chordata; Mammalia; Eulipotyphla; Erinaceidae.
GGAUGUGAGGAUGAUCUGGCUGUGAUAUCUAUAACCCCAUUGAUCACCAGGGUUGAUUUGGCUGGUCUGGCUGGCUAGAUGGGUAUCCCCUUCCUCCCUCACCACUCCAUGUGUGUCACUCCUGAAGCUAUGUGCUCAGUCGGUUGAAGAGGAUGGCAUUCCCCAAUAGAGAUGGACCAGUCUUCGGUCAAAGUUAUACAAGUACCUGUGCUCCCCUGCUAGAACCUCCAAACAAGCUCUCAAAUCCAAUUGCAAGGAAGACAAGAACAAAACAAAACAAAACAAAACAAAAACAUUACUAUAUCAAAUUU